RNAcentral lists this ribosomal RNA (449 nucleotides) under uncultured bacterium. RNAcentral describes it as "partial 16S ribosomal RNA". It matches the Rfam family "Bacterial small subunit ribosomal RNA", at positions 354 to 796 of the family's 1533-position model. The record is from RNAcentral.
GUGGGGAAUCUUCCGCAAUGGACGAAAGUCUGACGGAGCGACGCCGCGUGAGUGAAGAAGGCCUUCGGGUCGUAAAGCUCUGUCAUCAGGGACGAACGGCCGGUGGAGUGGAAAGCCACCGGAUUGACGGUACCUGAGAAGGAAGCCACGGCUAACUACGUGCCAGCAGCCGCGGUAAUACGUAGGUGGCAAGCGUUGUCCGGAAUUAUUGGGCGUAAAGCGCGCGCAGGUGGGAUCUUAAGUCCAUUUUUAAAGUUCGGAGCUCAACUCCGUGAUGGGAUGGAAACUGGGAUUCUUGAGUACCGGAGAGGAAAGCGGAAUUCCCCGUGUAGCGGUGAAAUGCGUAGAUAUGGGGAGGAACACCAGUGGCGAAGGCGGCUUCCUGGCACAAUACUGACGCUCAUGUGCGAAAGCUAGGGCAGCGAACGGGAUUAGAAACCCCAUAGUCC